This 233-nucleotide unclassified non-coding RNA is filed under the name Bacillus thuringiensis. RNAcentral describes it as "partial contains 16S ribosomal RNA, 16S-23S ribosomal RNA intergenic spacer, and 23S ribosomal RNA". Lineage: Bacteria; Bacillati; Bacillota; Bacilli; Caryophanales; Bacillaceae. The record is from RNAcentral.
GUUGUAACAAGGUAGCCGUAUCGGAAGGUGCGGCUGGAUCACCUCCUUUUUAUGGAGAAUUGAUGAACGCUGUUCAUCAAUAUAAGUUUCCGUGUUUCGUUUUGUUCAGUUUUGAGAGAACUAUCUCUCAUAUAUAAAUGUAUGUUCUUUGAAAACUAGAUAACAGUGUAGCUCAUAUUUUUUAAUUUUUAUUUGGGUUAAUUUAAAAAGGGCGCACGGUGGAUGCCUUGGAA